This is a long non-coding RNA of Ictalurus punctatus (channel catfish), 687 nucleotides long. RefSeq lists it as uncharacterized. NCBI's taxonomy places the organism in Eukaryota, Metazoa, Chordata, Actinopteri, Siluriformes, Ictaluridae. The record is from RefSeq and is a predicted model, not a curated record. The transcript is spliced from 2 exons.
CAGUGUAGUGGGAUGGGUUUUUCCCCAUUGUUUUUUUACUGCCCCGUUAUGGAUGAGAGAUUGGGAUCAUUGGUGCUUGUGUAAUUAAACGCUCAGUUGUUGCUGUAACCGUUACCGUGGAAUCUCCCGUGAGUUGCGUCGAGCACUCGCUGAAAGCUUUUAGAUAUGAAGGCUAUUGAGAUGCUGUGUUACUUUGUUGGGUUUUCUUGUUGUUCUUAUUUUGAAUCAUUGUUUAUUGUUGUGUGUUUUUAAUGAAAUACACAUGAAGGCAUUCUAACAUCCUGAUGUUCAUUUAUCUUUGGAUUUUGGAGUAUUUAUGAUUAGAUAUUGUGACUUUCUAUUUGUGACUUUCUAUUAUUUGAUAUGAGAGGUUUUUUUAAUAAUUAUGUUUUGUUUUGCAGUCAUUCAUGGUUCGUUCGGCGGUUAACUGUGGGUCGUGCUGCUGUUUUUAAAAAAUUUUUUGUCUAAUUAUAUUAUGAUUGUGUUUUCCUUUGUUUAUUACCUGUUUUGAGGUUUUUGUUUUGAUUUUCUGGAGUUUUGACUUUGCUUAUGUUUAUGACUUCAUCUCUUUGCCUUGCCAUGUUUGUGCUGUUUGUCUCAUCACCUGACUUCUUCCUGCUGAUGAUUAUUGUCUUCUGCCUUAUCCUCUGGACAUGUUGUUUGAUUAAACUGCCAUACCUGCACUUG